CCAAAGGCUCUUUUAAGAGCCACCCACUUCUGCACGGAAAGAGCUU
This is a non-coding RNA of Chelonia mydas (Green sea turtle), 46 nucleotides long. NCBI's taxonomy places the organism in Eukaryota, Metazoa, Chordata, Testudines, Cheloniidae. The record is from Rfam.